GACGAACGCUGGCGGCGUGCUUAACACAUGCAAGUCGAACGGAAAGGCCCUGCUUUUGUUGGGUGCUCGAGUGGCGAACGGGUGAGUAACACGUGAGUAACCUGCCCUUGACUUUGGGAUAACUUCAGGAAACUGGGGCUAAUACCGGAUAGGAGCUCCUGCUGCAUGGUGGGGGUUGGAAAGUUUCGGCGGUUGGGGUUGGACUCGCGUCUUAUCCGCUUGUUGGUGGGGUAGUGGCUUACCAAGGCUUUGACGGGUAGCCGGCCUGAGAGGGUGACCGGCCACAUUGGGACUGAGGUACGGCGCAGACGCCUACGAGAGGCAGCAGUGGGGAAUAUUGCACGAUGGGCGGACGCCUGAUGCAGCAACGCCGCGUGCGGGAUGACGGCCUUCGGGUUGUAACCCGCUUUCGCCUGUGACGAAGCGUGAGUGACGGUAAUGGGUAAAGAAGCACCGGCUAACUACGUG
This 468-nucleotide ribosomal RNA is filed under the name uncultured bacterium. RNAcentral describes it as "partial 16S ribosomal RNA". It matches the Rfam family "Bacterial small subunit ribosomal RNA", at positions 28 to 507 of the family's 1533-position model. The record is from RNAcentral.